CAUGCACUGGUGGGGUCCCUCAGCCUGGCCUGUGCCCUCUCACAAUCCAGGACCCCUUGGGGGAUGUUGGAUAGUUGGUUUCAGCCGAUCUCUGCAGGCCUGGCCGAGGGACCCCACCAGUGCACG
This 126-nucleotide microRNA precursor is filed under the name Myotis davidii. RNAcentral's name for it is "mir-9193 microRNA precursor family". It matches the Rfam family "mir-9193 microRNA precursor family". Lineage: Eukaryota; Metazoa; Chordata; Mammalia; Chiroptera; Vespertilionidae. The record is from Rfam by way of RNAcentral.